This 479-nucleotide unclassified non-coding RNA is filed under the name Hevea brasiliensis (rubber tree). The record is from RNAcentral. Lineage: Eukaryota; Viridiplantae; Streptophyta; Magnoliopsida; Malpighiales; Euphorbiaceae.
GGCAAGAUAAUACACAAAAGUGUAUCAUCUAGUCAUCAACCAGGACAACCCAAAUCCACCCCCUAACCAAUAUCAAGCAGAAAUGAAAUAACAGCUAUGCAAACAUCAAAUAACUUAUAGAAGCUCUCAAUUUGCAAAGGUAAAGUAUUGCGAUUGAUAAUGCAACAAAUAGCUUCCCCCCUUAUUGGAUUGGCAAGAUAAUAUAUCAAAAUGUAAUUAGCAUGGGGUAUAACUAGCAAAGAACACUGAAAGGUAAAGCUUUAUACUGUUUUGUUUACCUGGUUUGAACUUUCAAUAUCCAAUAAUUUUAGCACCAAAAUUUAGGGUGUGCUUAGUUUUAAGGAACUGAAAUUACACAAUUUCAAAUUGAAGUUUUUAAAUUCAAAACAUCACUAGUAUUAAAUUAAAAAUGAAUUGCAUAAAAUCCGUCGUAUUCAAUUGUUCAAAAAUUGUAAAGAUGUCCAUUUCAAAACACAAUU